UGGGGAAUAUUGGACAAUGGGCGAAAGCCUGAUCCAGCCAUGCCGCGUGAGUGAUGAAGGCCCUAGGGUUGUAAAGCUCUUUCACCGGUGAAGAUAAUGACGGUAACCGGAGAAGAAGCCCCGGCUAACUUCGUGCCAGCAGCCGCGGUAAUACGAAGGGGGCUAGCGUUGUUCGGAAUUACUGGGCGUAAAGCGCACGUAGGCGGACUAUUAAGUCAGGGGUGAAAUCCUGGAGCUCAACUCCAGAACUGCCUUUGAUACUGAUGGUCUCGAGUCCGGAAGAGGUGAGUGGAAUUCCGAGUGUAGAGGUGAAAUUCGUAGAUAUUCGGAGGAACACCAGUGGCGAAGGCGGCUCACUGGUCCGGUACUGACGCUGAGGUGCGAAAGCGUGGGGAGCAAA
This 400-nucleotide ribosomal RNA is filed under the name uncultured bacterium. Its description in RNAcentral is "bacterial SSU rRNA". It matches the Rfam family "Bacterial small subunit ribosomal RNA", at positions 355 to 772 of the family's 1533-position model. The record is from RNAcentral.